This 496-nucleotide ribosomal RNA is filed under the name uncultured bacterium. RNAcentral describes it as "partial 16S ribosomal RNA". It matches the Rfam family "Bacterial small subunit ribosomal RNA", at positions 28 to 506 of the family's 1533-position model. The record is from RNAcentral.
GAUGAACGCUGGCGGCGUGCCUAAUACAUGCAAGUCGAGCGAACGGACGAGAAGCUUGCUUCUCUGAUGUUAGCGGCGGACGGGUGAGUAACACGUGGAUAACCUACCUAUAAGACUGGGAUAACUUCGGGAAACCGGAGCUAAUACCGGAUAAUAUUUUGAACCGCAUGGUUCAAAAGUGAAAGACGGUCUUGCUGUCACUUAUAGAUGGAUCCGCGCUGCAUUAGCUAGUUGGUAAGGUAACGGCUUACCAAGGCAACGGUGCAUAGCCGACCUGAGAGGGGUGUCGCCCACCCCGGACUUGAGAACCGGCCCAAACCCCCACGGGGGGCAGCAGUAGGGAAUCUUCCGGAAGGGGCGAGAGCCUGACGGGGAAACGCCGGGUGAGUGAUGAAGGUUUUCGGCUCGUAAAACUCUGUUAUUGGGGAAGAAAAUUUGUGUAAUUAACGGGGCAAAUCUUGCGGGUCCCUAAUAAGAAACCCCCGCCAAACCCCGU